GGGGGCGUAGGUCAGUGGCAGACCGGCAGACUUUUAAUCUGCGCGUCGGGAGUUCGAUCCUCCCCGCCCCCACGA
Molecule: transfer RNA, 75 nt
Filed under: Actinomycetes bacterium
Lineage: Bacteria; Bacillati; Actinomycetota; Actinomycetes
Description: Actinobacteria bacterium tRNA-Lys
Rfam family: tRNA
About the family: Transfer RNA (tRNA) molecules are approximately 80 nucleotides in length. Their secondary structure includes four short double-helical elements and three loops (D, anti-codon, and T loops). Further hydrogen bonds mediate the characteristic L-shaped molecular structure. tRNAs have two regions of fundamental functional importance: the anti-codon, which is responsible for specific mRNA codon recognition, and the 3' end, to which the tRNAs corresponding amino acid is attached (by aminoacyl-tRNA synthetases). tRNAs cope with the degeneracy of the genetic code in two manners: having more than one tRNA (with a specific anti-codon) for a particular amino acid; and 'wobble' base-pairing, i.e. permitting non-standard base-pairing at the 3rd anti-codon position.
Source: RNAcentral